This 775-nucleotide ribosomal RNA is filed under the name uncultured Neocallimastigales. RNAcentral's name for it is "partial large subunit ribosomal RNA". It matches the Rfam family "Eukaryotic large subunit ribosomal RNA", at positions 23 to 644 of the family's 3401-position model. The record is from RNAcentral. Lineage: Eukaryota; Fungi; Neocallimastigomycota; Neocallimastigomycetes; Neocallimastigales.
ACACGCAUGACACACUGCAUAUCAAUAAGCGGAGGAAAAGAAACUAACAAGGAUUCCCUUAGUAACGGCGAGUGAAGCGGGAAGAGCUCAAAUUCGAAAUCUUCAAGGUUCUACCUUGACGAAUUGUAGUUUAUAGAAGUGUUUUCUGUUAGUGGAGUGGCAAAAGUUCUUUGGAAUAGGACAUCAUAGAGGGUGAGAAUCCCGUAUUUGGUCAUUCCUCCUAGUGUUGUGAUACACUUUCAACGAGUCGGAUUGUUUGGGAAUGCAGUCCAAAAUGGGUGGUAAAUUUCAUCUAAAGCUAAAUAUUGGCGAGAGACCGAUAGCGAACAAGUACCGUGAGGGAAAGAUGAAAAGAACUUUGAAAAGAGAGUUAAACAGUACGUGAAAUUGUCAAAAGGGAAGCGUUUGACACCAGUGUUGUUUUUCCGAAAAUCAAUUACGAAUGUUUUAGUUUUUGAGGAGUUAUGACUUCAUCGGCUUGCUCCUUUCUUUAUGAAACUUUCUUAAUGCACUUUUCGGUUAACAAGUCAACAUCAAUUUCUUUUGUUGUAAAAGGGUAUGAGGAAGGUGGCUUUCUUUUCGGAGAAAGUGUUUAUAGUCUUGUGCCUCUGCAAUCGGAGAGAUUGAGGUCUGCAGCCUAGAUCCUUCGGGGUUAGAUACGUUUGUGCUAAGUUAUAGCUUUUCAUAGACAACUUGUUGACUAUGUUUAGUCUUGUAGCUUACUCGCUUACGCUAUUUUACCUACGCUUAGGAUGUUGAACUACUGAGACAUAGA